GACGAAGGAUGCAAGCGUUAUCCGGAUUCAUUGGGUUUAAAGGGAGCGUAGGUGGCCUUAUAAGUCAGUGGUGAAAUCUCUGGGCUUAACCCAGAAAUUGCCAUUGAUACUGUAGGGCUUGAGUAUAGUUGCCGUUGGCGGAAUAUGACAUGUAGUGGUGAAAUACAUAGAGAUGUCAUAGAGCACCGAUUGCGAAGGCAGCUGACGAAACUAUAACUGACACUGAGGCUCGAAAGUGCGGGGAUCGAACAGG
RNAcentral lists this ribosomal RNA (253 nucleotides) under uncultured bacterium. RNAcentral describes it as "partial 16S ribosomal RNA". It matches the Rfam family "Bacterial small subunit ribosomal RNA", at positions 524 to 776 of the family's 1533-position model. The record is from RNAcentral.